RNAcentral lists this small RNA (29 nucleotides) under Bombyx mori (domestic silkworm). Its description in RNAcentral is "ovarian small RNA-14921". The record is from RNAcentral. Lineage: Eukaryota; Metazoa; Arthropoda; Insecta; Lepidoptera; Bombycidae.
CUGCUGGUCCUUGCGUUUUACUCCGCCCA